Molecule: long non-coding RNA, 1523 nt
Organism: Megalopta genalis
Lineage: Eukaryota; Metazoa; Arthropoda; Insecta; Hymenoptera; Halictidae
Source: RefSeq, a predicted model, not a curated record
CGAGUGUCGAGUCUAAUUAAGUGCUUGAGAAAUUAAGAUAAAAGUGUUUAAUUAGUGCGAUAAAACUGACACCGGAGAUACCAAAUGGUUAUAAAGAUCGAAGCAGAAUUUGAGCCUCGUAACUUUCUGUAUUCAACUGCGUAUAACUCUGAUAAGGCGUGCUUCUAGUCUUGUGUCCAGUGUAAAUAAGUGUUUAGAUACUCAAAACAGAAGCGUUUAAUUAAUCCAGCAAGAAUGACGUUGGAAAAAGAAAGUGGUUAUAAAGAUCAAAGAAGAAUUGAAAUUUCGUGGUCCCUCAACUGACGGACAAAAAUAAAGAUGACCACAUUGAAACAAAAUGGUAGAACAUAUAUUUAUCUACUUCCCCGUUGUUAGUUUCAAUUAGCUGAUACUUACGAAGAAUAGCAUAUUUCAGGUUAUAAAAAUCGAAACAGAAAUCGAAUUUUCAGCUCUGUUAUGCGAUGGACAGAAAUUAGAUUACUUAGGCUAGGAUGUCACCGGUAAAAACAAAAUGGUUAUAAAGAUCGAAACAGAGUUCGAAUCUUCCGCUCUGUUAUCCGAGGAACGAAACUGAGUUUAAUUAGCCUAGAAUGUCACCGAAAAAACGAGAUGGUUACAAAGACCGCUGCAGGGAAAGUCGAUCCAGGGCGAGGUGUGUCGGCCCUAAGUGGUCAAAGUGGGAAGGAAGUAAACCGGUGUCGUCGUUCAAGAGUUAAACCGCGCUCGGAUAGUUAAAGUCAACGCGGAAGUCGUACGUGGUAGGACUGCCGGAGAGGUAAACGAAUCCCGUCGGCGAGGAAUUGGAUCGUACGGGGAGCCCGGCCCGUUCGGGGCCAUUUCCUGCGAUGGCCACGGCCUCUACAAAUUCCCCAGACUUUUUACAGACGCUCCCCGGGAAUGAGAUUUCCCUUUGCACGCCGGUCACCGGCUAUCUGGCCGACGGUCACCCGGGCCGCCGUGAUUUUUCAUUCCGACACCGUGCGGCCGGCGGACGGCACCGUGAAGCUGUCGUGGAAGAGGGAAGAAGACGAGUGGCCGUAAGAGAAAGAUGUUGGUACACCGGCCAAGAAUCCAUUUUAAGGCGCUGAAAUACGCGAUCUGCACUUAUUCCGGCCACCGGAUCCCCCGAUGCCCGCUCAACCUUCUUUCAAUUUCUGUGACUGAAAUAGGAGACGGAGUAGUUAGUUUGAGGCUGGAACUUUUGUAAACCAAACUGUUUCCUGUUUUAGUUUUGCUUUAUUAGAUUUAUUUAAUUUAAUUGUUUUAGGUUAGAUCUGAUUUUAUAUGGGCUAUUAGUAGGCUGUGGAUUUAUGUAUGUGGUUAUGGUGGAGUGGAAAAUUUUUUGUGCCAUUUUGAAUUCAAUUGAUAUAAUCAGACCAGGAAAUUAGUUCGUAAUUUUGUUCUAGCUUGUUACACUUGGAAUGAACAAUUUUUAUUUUGUAUAAUCAUUUGUAUUCUAUAUAUGUGAUAGCUGCAGAAUCAACUUGGAUUAUUUUAAUGUAAAUAAAGGAAUUUGAAAGAUA